AAACUGAAGAGUUUGAUCAUGGCUCAGAUUGAACGCUGGCGGCAGGCCUAAUACAUGCAAGUCGAGCGGAAACGAUGGGAGCUUGCUCCCAGGCGUCGAGCGGCGGACGGGUGAGUAACGCGUAGGAAUCUGCCCAGUAGUGGGGGAUAGCCCGGGGAAACUCGGAUUAAUACCGCAUACGCCCUACGGGGGAAAGCAGGGGAUCUUCGGACCUUGCGCUAUUUGAUGAGCCUGCGUGAGAUUAGCUUGUUGGUGAGGUAAAGGCUCACCAAGGCGACGAUCUCUAGCUGGUCUGAGAGGAUGAUCAGCCACACUGGGACUGAGACACGGCCCAGACUCCUACGGGAGGCAGCAGUAGGGAAUAUUGGACAAUGGGGGCAACCCUGAUCCAGCCAUGCCGCGUGUGUGAAGAAGGCCCUCGGGUUGUAAAGCACUUUCAGUAGGGAGGAAGGCUCGGCUGUUAAUACCAGCCGGGAUUGACGUUACCUACAGAAGCAGCACCGGCUAACUCCGUGCCAGCAGCCGCGGUAAUACGGAGGGUGCAAGCGUU
This 550-nucleotide ribosomal RNA is filed under the name Gammaproteobacteria bacterium. RNAcentral's name for it is "bacterial SSU rRNA". It matches the Rfam family "Bacterial small subunit ribosomal RNA", at positions 1 to 542 of the family's 1533-position model. Lineage: Bacteria; Pseudomonadati; Pseudomonadota; Gammaproteobacteria. The record is from RNAcentral.